Molecule: long non-coding RNA, 477 nt
Organism: Apis dorsata (giant honeybee)
Lineage: Eukaryota; Metazoa; Arthropoda; Insecta; Hymenoptera; Apidae
Exons: 3
Source: RefSeq, a predicted model, not a curated record
GGAAAUAUCGUAUUACUUCGUAAGCCGGCUCGGAUCGUAAAGGGGUUGAGAAACCGUUCUCGUGCGUAUAAAGUCGUGAAUCAGCGAUCGAAGAUCAGGAGGGGGCACACGCGACUGUUUGAAACGGGAGCGAUUGUAAGUCCGCACUGCUCGGCCGCAAUCACGCGCGACUGUCGACAAAGCUGUCGCGGUCACAACAAAACCUACGGAAUAGGGGAACCACGAGGGGUGGCGGCGUCGCGGCGCGAUGCGUCGAGACGACCUCGUGCAGCCGAACGAAGAAACUUGUCGAUGGGGGUGGAGAAGAAAGUUCGAGAUGAGAAAGUUCAAAAGGAUGGUGAAAUUGGAGAAAAGGGAAUCAAAUUAUUUUUUUCUAAAAUAAAAGAUUAAAUAGAGAGAAAGUGUUAUAGAAAUUAUUGGUUAAUUGUUUUUCUUGUUUCUUAUCAGCAUUUAUUAUUUUUUUUCCUGGCAAAAAAU